Molecule: unclassified non-coding RNA, 285 nt
Filed under: plant metagenome
Description: partial contains small subunit ribosomal RNA, internal transcribed spacer 1, and 5.8S ribosomal RNA
Rfam family: Eukaryotic small subunit ribosomal RNA (bases 1-54)
Source: RNAcentral
GGAAGUAAAAGUCAUAACAAGGUUUCCGUAGGUGAACCUGCGGAAGGAUCAUUAUUGUAUAACCGAGGUGCGAGGGCUGUCGCUGACCCGAAAGGUCGUGCACGCCCGAGUGCCCUCACACACAUCCAUCCCACCCCUAAGUGCACCACCGCGUGGGUCCCCCUUUGGCUUGUUCGGAGGGGGGCUUACGUUUUCACACAAACUUUGUAUGCAGUGUAGAAUGUAUUUUUUGUUUUUGCGAUCACGCAAUCAAUACAACUUUCAACAACGGAUCUCUUGGCUCUC